GAUGAACGCUAGCGGAGGCUUAACACAUGCAAGUCGAGGGGCAUCGCGGUGCAGCAAUGCACUGGCGGCGACCGGCGUACGGGUGCGUAACGCGUAUGCAACCUGCCCCGCACCGGGGGAUAGCCCGCCGAAAGGCGGAUUAAUACCCCAUGGUCCCGGGGGCCCGCAUGGGCAUCCGGGUAAAGCCUUGGCGGUGCGGGAUGGGCAUGCGUGCCAUUAGCUGGCUGGUGGGGUAACGGCCCACCAGGGCAACGAUGGCUAGGGGGUCUGAGAGGAUGGUCCCCCACACUGGUACUGAGACACGGACCAGACUCCUACGGGAGGCAGCAGUGAGGAAUAUUGGUCAAUGGGCGGAAGCCUGAACCAGCCAUGCCGCGUGCGGGAUGAAGGCCCUACGGGUUGUAAACCGCUUUUCCCCGGGAAGAAUAAGCCCCCCGCGGGGGGUGAUGCCGGUACCGGGGGAAUAAGGAUCGGCUAACUCCGUGCCAGCAACCGCGGUAAAAGUGUGUGUA
Molecule: ribosomal RNA, 512 nt
Filed under: uncultured bacterium
Lineage: Bacteria
Description: bacterial SSU rRNA
Rfam family: Bacterial small subunit ribosomal RNA
Source: RNAcentral